GAAGACUUAUCUUUGCAAGAGCUACACGACAGACCAAUAUUCCACAAAGGAAUCGAACAGAUCACAAAGAUCUUUCAAAGGACCAGAACUGCACACGAUGAAUCACACAGAUUCAUCCAAAUACCACACAGGGUAGCACACUAUUAUGCAAAUCUAUAAUAUCACAAAGUAUUCACACAUUGAUUCACUGAAACACUUAAGAUUUAUGAACCCU
This 214-nucleotide long non-coding RNA is filed under the name Olea europaea (common olive). RNAcentral's name for it is "long non-coding RNA (OEUR_LNC006506)". Lineage: Eukaryota; Viridiplantae; Streptophyta; Magnoliopsida; Lamiales; Oleaceae. The record is from RNAcentral.